RNAcentral lists this ribosomal RNA (576 nucleotides) under Triticum aestivum (bread wheat). RNAcentral describes it as "partial small subunit ribosomal RNA". Lineage: Eukaryota; Viridiplantae; Streptophyta; Magnoliopsida; Poales; Poaceae. The record is from RNAcentral.
AUGGAGGAUCUGAAGGGGUACAGGGUGGAGGUGAGCUCCGCUUUGCGUGCCAAUGCCAUGGGGUUCACCUUCCUUGGCAUGCCGCCGCCGUCCAGCAGCACCGUCGGCAUGGCACUGGUGUUGAACAUCUUGGGUGGGUACAAGUCGGCGGAGUUUCUGAGAGGAUUUCUGGGCGUGCACCGGCUGAUCGAGGCGGUUAAGCACAUGCUGGCCGUCCGGAUGGACUUCGGCGACCCUGGCUUCGUCAACGCCACUGGGAUCGUCUCCGAUAAGGUCCGGCAAAGGAUCGCCGACAACACCACUUUCCCUCCGGCCUACUACCUCCCAAAGUGGAGCCAGCUGCGUGACAAUGGCACGAGCCACCUGUGCGUGGUGGACGGCGACCGGAAUGCGGUGGCGACGACGACGACGGUGAACUAUUACUUCGGUGCACAGGUCCUCUCACCGUCCACCGGCAUCGUGCUCAAGAACGAGAUGGACGACUUUUCGGUGCCGUCAUCGUAUCCGACCCCCGACCACCUCCCACCGGCGCCGGCCAACUUCAUGACGGGGGAAAGCGACCGCUCUCAUCGAUGA